GACGAACGCUGGCGGCGUGCUUAACACAUGCAAGUCGAACGGAAGGGCCCUGCUCUUGUGUGGUUCUCGUUUGGCGAACGCGUGAGUAACACGUGUGUAUCCUCCCCUUGACUUUGUGAUAUCUUCACGAAACUGCGGCGCUUACCGCAGAUGAUCUCCUGCAGCAUGUGGUUGAUUGGAAAGUUUCGGCGUUAGUGGAUGUUCUCGCGGCUUAUCAGCUUGUUUGUGUGGUAGUGGCUUACGAAGCCUUUGACGGGUAGCCGGCCUGGGAGGUUGACCGGCGACAUGGGGACUGCGAGACGGACCAGAAGGCUACGGGAGGCAGCAGUGGGGAAUCUUACAGAGUGGGGCGAAGUCUGAUGCAGAAACGUCGCGUGCGGAAUGCCGGCCUUCGAGUUGUAAACAGAUUUCGAAUGUGACGAAGCGUGAGUGACGGUAAUUGGUAAGAAAGCACCGGCUAACUACGUG
This 468-nucleotide ribosomal RNA is filed under the name uncultured bacterium. RNAcentral's name for it is "partial 16S ribosomal RNA". It matches the Rfam family "Bacterial small subunit ribosomal RNA", at positions 28 to 507 of the family's 1533-position model. The record is from RNAcentral.